This 406-nucleotide ribosomal RNA is filed under the name uncultured bacterium. RNAcentral describes it as "partial 16S ribosomal RNA". It matches the Rfam family "Bacterial small subunit ribosomal RNA", at positions 30 to 526 of the family's 1533-position model. The record is from RNAcentral.
AUUGAACGCUGGCGGCAGGCCUAACACAUGCAAGUCGAGCGAGCGGCGGACGGGUGAGUAAUGUCUGGGAAACUGCCUGAUGGAGGGGGAUAACUACUGGAAACGGUAGCUAAUACCGCAUACCAUCAGAUGUGCCCAGAUGGGAUUAGCUUGUUGGUGGGGUAACAGCUUACCUAGGCGACGAUCCCUAGCUGGUCUGAGAGGAUGACCAGCCACACUGGAACUGGGACACGGUCCAGACUCCUACGGGAGGCGGCAGUGGGGAAUAUUGCACGAUGGGCGCAAGCCUGGUGCAGCCAUACCGCGUGUGUGAAGAAGGCCUUCGGGUUGUAAAGCGCUUUCAGCGGGGAGGCGUUACCCGCAGAAGAAGCACCGGCUAGCUCCGUGCCAGCCGCCGCGGUAAUAC